GAUGAACGCUGACAGUAUGCUUAACACAUGCAAGUCUUUGGCGAAGCUGUGCUUGCACAGCCUAGCCAAGGCGGACGGGUGAGUAACGCGUAAGGAACUUGCCCUGCAGUCAGGGAUAACAGACGGAAACGACUGAUAAGACCUGGUAAAGUCAGGCGGACUCAUGUCCAGCCUGAUGAAAAGAGAUGCUGCAGGAGAGCCUUGCGUCCUAUUAGCUUGUUGGUGGGGUAACGGCCCACCAAGGCGAUGAUAGGUAGCCGGCCUGAGAGGGUGGACGGCCACAAGGGGACUGAGAUACGGCCCUUACUCCUACGGGAGGCAGCAGUGGGGAAUAUUGGACAAUGGGGGCAACCCUGAUCCAGCAAUUCUGUGUGCACGAUGAAGGUUUUCGGAUUGUAAAGUGCUUUCAGCAGGGAAGAAAAAAAUGACGGUACCUGCAGAAGAAGCGACGGCUAAAUACGU
Molecule: ribosomal RNA, 462 nt
Filed under: uncultured bacterium
Lineage: Bacteria
Description: partial 16S ribosomal RNA
Rfam family: Bacterial small subunit ribosomal RNA
Source: RNAcentral